RNAcentral lists this non-coding RNA (30 nucleotides) under Rattus norvegicus (Norway rat). Lineage: Eukaryota; Metazoa; Chordata; Mammalia; Rodentia; Muridae. The record is from RNAcentral.
UCAACAGCCAUUGGUAUGAUUAUCUCACGC